UAUACCCAAACAAACUCGGGUAAGCGUACACCGAUGUGGGAGUGUGCAUUAGAAUGGAAUCCUGGAUUUUUGGCACCGAAAAUAGCGGGCGGGCGGCGCUGGCGCUGGGCGGCGCGCGCAGUGCGUGUCGCUCCGCCGUGUGAACAGCCCGCUAGGCCAGUUGGCGUAUUAUUUUGAACGGACCGUGAAAACAAAAAACAGCCACAAUGGACGCGAUCAAGAAGAAGAUGCAGGCGAUGAAGCUGGAGAAGGAUAAUGCCAUGGACAAGGCAGAUACCUGCGAACAGCAGGCCAGGGAUGCCAACCUCCGCGCCGAGAAGGUCAACGAGGAAGUCCGUGAGCUCCAGAAGAAGCUCGCCCAAGUCGAGGAGGACCUCGUCCUUAACAAGAACAAACUGGAGCAAGCCAACAAGGACCUGGAAGAGAAGGAGAAGCAACUGACCGCCACCGAGGCGGAGGUGGCCGCCCUCAACAGGAAGGUGCAGCAGAUUGAAGAGGACCUCGAAAAGUCCGAGGAGAGGUCCGGCACCGCCCAGCAGAAACUGCUCGAGGCCCAGCAGUCUGCUGACGAAAACAACCGUAUGUGCAAAGUAUUGGAGAACAGGGCACAACAGGACGAGGAGCGUAUGGACCAGCUCACCAACCAACUGAAGGAAGCUCGUCUUCUCGCUGAGGACGCUGACGGUAAAUCUGAUGAGGUUUCACGCAAGUUAGCCUUCGUUGAAGACGAACUCGAAGUCGCUGAGGACCGUGUCAAGUCUGGUGACGCAAAGAUCUCAGAACUUGAGGAAGAAUUGAAGGUUGUAGGUAACUCCCUUAAAUCACUUGAAGUAUCAGAAGAGAAGGCCAACCAGCGCGUAGAAGAAUUCAAAAAGCAGCUAAAGACCCUGACCUCCAAACUCAAGGAAGCCGAGGCCCGCGCUGAGUACGCCGAGAAGACUGUGAAGAAACUGCAGAAGGAAGUCGACAGGCUUGAAGACGCUUUGUUCAACGAGAAGGAGAAAUACAAGGCGAUAUGCGAUGACUUGGACGGCACAUUCGCCGAGCUCACCGGAUACUAACAAAGCUUGCUAGUUUAAGACAUCAAAAUCCCACAGGAACACCCAAAACCGUAUCUCACCCUCGUACCCCUCUGUACAAAACCAAUAGGAUAUAGUCAAUCCGCACGUCUUAUAAGUCUUAGAUGUAGGAUCGCCUUAAUAUCUACUUCUUAUCAAAUAACCCAACCAUAACCUUUGGGAUUGACGUUUCACAGAGCCUGUGAGCUUCUGUUUUCGUCAAUCCUCGUCAAUUCAUAUCAAACCUAGCUUUAUUCGUUGUGUUUAACAUGUCUUAUGCUUUGCUGCUACCGACGUGGAUCAGUGCUUUCAAGACGAGCUGGGCAUCAACAAAGACAGAUACAAGAGCUUGGCUGACGAGAUGGACUCCACCUUCGCCGAACUUGCCGGUUAUUAGACACUUCAGUAGUACACGCGCUACCAACGACGCUAUCAAAUUAAUACACGUGAUGUAAUAUUUAUUAAUAUUAUAUGUAAAUUUAUUUACGAUUUUCAAAUAAAAAUAAUUUAUAACAACUUUUAUUCAUAUAAA
Molecule: RNA transcript, 1590 nt
Organism: Danaus plexippus (monarch butterfly)
Lineage: Eukaryota; Metazoa; Arthropoda; Insecta; Lepidoptera; Nymphalidae
Gene: Tm2
Gene name: tropomyosin-1
Exons: 8
Source: RefSeq, a predicted model, not a curated record